RNAcentral lists this ribosomal RNA (468 nucleotides) under uncultured bacterium. RNAcentral describes it as "partial 16S ribosomal RNA". It matches the Rfam family "Bacterial small subunit ribosomal RNA", at positions 28 to 507 of the family's 1533-position model. The record is from RNAcentral.
GACGAACGCUGGCGGCGUGCUUAACACAUGCAAGUCGAACGGAAAGGCCCUGCUUUUGUGGGGUGCUCGAGUGGCGAACGGGUGAGUAACACGUGAGUAACCUGCCCUUGACUUUGGGAUAACUUCAGGAAACUGGGGCUAAUACCGGAUAGGAGCUCCUGCUGCAUGGUGGGGGUUGGAAAGUUUCGGCGGUUGGGGAUGGACUCGCGGCUUAUCAGCUUGUUGGUGGGGGAGGGGCUUACCAAGGCUUUGACGGGUAGCCGGCCUGAGAGGGUAACCGGCCACAUUGGGACUGAGAUACGGCCCAGACUCCUACGGGAGGCAGCAGUGGGGAAUAUUGCACAAUGGGCGGAAGCCUGAUGCAGCAACGCCGCGUGCGGGAUGACGGCCUUCGGGUUGUAAACCGCUUUCGCCUGUGACGAAGCGUGAGUGACGGUAAUGGGUAAAGAAGCACCGGCUAACUACGUG